This is a long non-coding RNA of Mauremys mutica (yellowpond turtle), 1573 nucleotides long. RefSeq lists it as uncharacterized. The transcript has 3 exons. The record is from RefSeq and is a predicted model, not a curated record. NCBI's taxonomy places the organism in Eukaryota, Metazoa, Chordata, Testudines, Geoemydidae.
GGGCUGAGUGAUGUCAUCCCGGUCCGAGGGGCGGGGUCUGUUAUCUCCAUGGUGACUCUGUCACAUUGUGGCACUUUACUGUGGGUCGGGAUGUCUCAGCUCCACCCACUGACACCCGCGGAGAGUCCGGGCGGUGAUUGCCCAGUGUCCUUGGGGUGAAAAUAAUCCACCAGCCGCUUGGGAAAGUCCCGGCAGUGCCACAUCCCCAGGCUCAGCGGAGUGGGGUUUGUUCAGGCGCUGGGUGAUCUCUGCCCACAGCCCCGCCCGGACUCUGAACGGCCCAUUUCCAUAUCCAGCCUCCAGCUCUCCGUGCCUCAGUCUCCCCGCUCUGACCCAGGGGCUGGGAUAGUUCCCGGCCUCCCGGCGGCGCUGUGGGGAGAAAGGCGAUAACCGCGUGUGAAGGGCCGAGACGCCACGACGCUGUCCUGUGAGUCUGACACCGAGACGGGCCCCGGGAGAGCCAACGUGCCGGGACAGCGAGCGGAGAGCGACUCAGAGCAGGACUCACUCCGGAUUGGGGUUCACAGAUGGAGCGAGGGAUCUCUGCGCCGCAGGCCCAGCGGGGCUCUGGGCAGGAAGGGGAGACACAUUGCCCGGGAACGGAAGGGUUAAAACUGCUGGGAGGUGCCUGGUCCCAGAUCAAUUUGGUGGAGUCUGGAGGGGAUGUGAAAAAGCCCGGAGACUCUCUCCACCUCUCCUGCAAAGCCUCCGGGUUCACCUUCAGCAGCUACAAUAUGAGCUGGGUCCAUCAGCCUCCUGGGAAGGGACUAGAUUGGGUGGCUUAUCUAGACAGCCCUGGGGGUGAUAUAUACUACCAUAGGCGCCAACUUCUGCUGGCACUGGUGGGUACUCGACCAGCCUCUGCCACCGGCCCUGCCCCAACUCCAUCCCUGCCCCGCCCCCAUUCCAACCCGUUCCCUAAAGUCCCCACCUCAACUCUGUCUACUCCCUGCCCCUAUUAGACCCCCUUCCCCAGAUCCUGGCCCCAGCCCCGCCUCUUCCCUUGAGCGAGCCACGUUCCCACUCCUCCCUGCUCCCUCACGGAGCUUGUUACCAAUUUUUCCCCAUGGGUGCUCCAGGGCUGGGAGUUGGCACCUAUGUACACUACCUUGGUUCAGUGAAAGGCUGGUUCACCAUCUCCAGGGAUAACUCCAACAUCCUGCUGUAUCUGCAAAUGACCGGCCUGAGAUCCGCGGACACUGCCUGGUAUCACUGUGCUAGAUAUACAGUGACACAGGAACCUAUUGAUGUUCAUACAAAAACCCAGGCUGCAGAAUCCGCGUGCCAAGUGGUGGUAGCAGCAACAUAAACAACAGGGCUUUGGGCACAGAAAGGAGAACAGGCAUCCUGGGGAAUGAAAUACAAACCUACCUCAAGGUUUUAACCUUUUCAUUCUCUAGCAAUUUUUGCUUCACACAGUCCCACUGGGCCUGCAGUGCAGACACUGCUCACUGCUUCAGUGAACCCCAUUCAGAUGUGAGUCCUGUUUCCACGGUCAGUCUCUCCUUGUAUAUUUGAAACUUUCCCUAAUGUAAAAUGUGGCUAGUUCCCACAUUGUUCCUUCACUCUUUUA